GGGCCGGGGCUCCGGACUGCCGGCGUGAGGGUAAAGAAUGAAACCUGGUCAGGUACUGGGUGAUAUCUUGGUAGCAGCUAAAGCGACUGCUUUGGCACUGAAAUUAAUGGGGCUGCUGCUGCCCGUGAGCUUGGGAUAAAAGAAAAAGUAGAAGUAGUCCAAGAAUCUGGUGAUCAUCAUGGUGGAGAAAUUCCACAGCUGGUGUCUAUGCAAAGAAGGAGCCUCGCUGAGCUGAAGAAAAUGGAACAAAGUCAAGAAAAACGUGACAACCUGUGUGAGAAAACCAGCCUUUCCCUUGGAAUCCCAGUCUCUUUCUACAUGUGCAGAGGUCAGAUCUUCUCAAGUAGUGGUGGUAUGAAGGAACCUGUAUUGUAAAUAAAUUGGCUGGAGUAUCUCAGAAUCUUUGGUUAGCAAGCAGCAGCUGGAGAGAAAUAAAUUUUGUUCACCAGGAGAGGGCUCUCACAGUCUUCUGUUAUUACUGAACUUGGGAGCAGAAAGACCAGAAGGUGAAGCUACAGAAAAAGUCAUGCAAGACCUGCUCAAAUCAGGUUAUGUCCACUAGUGUGCUAUAGAUACCAUAAAUGUUAAUCUUACAUAAAUAAGACUGAUUAUA
Oenanthe melanoleuca is the source of this 613-nucleotide long non-coding RNA. RefSeq lists it as uncharacterized. Lineage: Eukaryota; Metazoa; Chordata; Aves; Passeriformes; Muscicapidae. The transcript has 3 exons. The record is from RefSeq and is a predicted model, not a curated record.